GACGAACGCUGGCGGCGUGCUUAACACAUGCCAGUCGAACGGAAAGGCCCUGCUUUUGUGGGGUGCUCGAGUGGCGAACGGGUGAGUAACACGUGAGUAACCUGCCCUUGACUUUGGGAUAACUUCAGGAAACUGGGGCUAAUACCGGAUAGGAGCUCCUGCUGCAUGGUGGGGGUUGGAAAGUUUCGGCGGUUGGGGAUGGACUCGCGGCUUAUCAGCUUGUUGGUGGGGUAGUGGCUUACCAAGGCUUUGACGGGUAGCCGGCCUGAGAGGGUGACCGGCCACAUUGGGACUGAGAUACGGCCCAGACUCCUACGGGAGGCAGCAGUUGGGAAUAUUGCACAAUGGGCGGAAGCCUGAUGCAGCAACGCCGCGUGCGGGAUGACGGCCUUCGGGUUGUAAACCGCUUUCGCCUGUGACGAAGCGUGAGUGACGGUAAUGGGUAAAGAAGCACCGGCUAACUACGUG
RNAcentral lists this ribosomal RNA (468 nucleotides) under uncultured bacterium. RNAcentral describes it as "partial 16S ribosomal RNA". It matches the Rfam family "Bacterial small subunit ribosomal RNA", at positions 28 to 507 of the family's 1533-position model. The record is from RNAcentral.